RNAcentral lists this ribosomal RNA (587 nucleotides) under Aphelenchoides environmental sample. RNAcentral describes it as "SSU rRNA". It matches the Rfam family "Eukaryotic small subunit ribosomal RNA", at positions 1024 to 1640 of the family's 1831-position model. The record is from RNAcentral. Lineage: Eukaryota; Metazoa; Nematoda; Chromadorea; Rhabditida; Aphelenchoididae.
UCCUGACCCUAAACUAUGCCAACUGUCAAUCCGCCAGUGGCUUCCAGUUAUUGGCGGGCGGACCGACGGAAACGAAAGUUUUUCGGUUCCGGGGGAAGUAUGGUUGCAAAGCUGAAACUUAAAGGAAUUGACGGAAGGGCACCACCAGGAGUGGAGCUUGCGGCUUAAUUUGACUCAACACGGGAAACCUCACCCGGCCAGUACAUCAUAAGGAUUGACAGAUUGAAAGCUCUUUCAUGAUUUGAUGAAUGGUGGUGCAUGGCCGUUCUUAGUUCGUGGCGUGAGUCGUCUGCUUAAUUGCGAUAACGAGCGAGACUCCCACUGUUAGCUAGUGGUCGUUUUGUUUGAAUGAUCCACUUCCUAACUGGAUUCGAGGCUUCAAGUCUCAAGAAAUGGAGCAAUAACAGGUCUGUGAUGCCCUUAGAUGUUCGGGGCCGCACGCGUGCUACAAUGAUGGUAACAGCGUGAUUGUCCUCGCCCGACAGGGCUUGGCAAACAGUUGAGAUAUUAGUUAUGGCUGGAAUUGAGUGUUGAAAUUUUCUCUCAUGAACGAGGAAUUCCAAGUAAAUGCGAGUCAUCAACUUGCA